Molecule: long non-coding RNA, 2086 nt
Organism: Vidua chalybeata
Lineage: Eukaryota; Metazoa; Chordata; Aves; Passeriformes; Viduidae
Exons: 4
Source: RefSeq, a predicted model, not a curated record
GCUCCGGCUGGGAAAGGGCCGCCCCCGCCGGGAGAGGGCCGCUCCGAACGGGACAGGGCCACUCCGGCCGGGACAGGGCCGCCCCCGCGCCUCCCUCAGGGAGCGGACCCUCAAAUCACCGAGGGAAAGCUGCUGCUUCUGCCCAGCCUGGGGAGGAGAAGGUUCCGGGCAGAUCUUAUAGCGCCCACCAGUGUCUAAAAGCAGGACCGAGCACAGCGUUUUAUAGCACAGGAAAAAAACCGAUCCUGGAGAAAUGUGAGAUGUGAUUUCCAUAGAGACUUCACGAUUUCAGAUGAAAAGAAUUCAGUGUCCAAACUGUGAGGAUUUCAAAGAGCUGGCAAGGUCUGAGUUACAAUUUCCACAGCAGCAGCGACUUGGCUCCUUUGCAGACAGAGCAGGCGAGCACAGGGGGCCACUAAUGACAGCAGGAUGAUCCUGGACAGCAAGUGUUCAACAGUUUACCAGCCUGGGAACACGGUGAAGGCCAGAGGCAUCAGCACUCUGAAGACGAAGAAAAGCUUCCUGCAAAAGUUCAGUGCAAUGCUAACAGCCUCUUUCUGUUUAAAAAGAAUGAACAUCAAGCAUCAGGAUGAGGGACUAUAGUCUGAUCCAGAUCAUCAUUUCCAAGAUGGUUUUGCACCUCUUGAAACUCCCAGCUUCCUGGAAGCCUCUCAGACAUGCUCUCCCUAUAUGGGCCCAGCUCACCCAGAGCUCAGAUAGACAGGCCUGGUGCUGUUGCUGGGCCCAUUCAGAAUUGUACCUCACCAUCCUUUUGAUCAUAACCCUAGUGUGCUGUUAACAUCAAGGUCAAAAGCCAUGUGCAAGUAAUUAUUUUUGAAACUGAAUACAUCUAAAUCCAUGGUGUAAAACCCACUGACAUACAAUAGCCCCAGAAUCACUUCAGCAGCAGAUGUUACAGAUGGAAAACAACCACAUGAGUAGUUUAGCUCAUUUUCCUGUUGUUGCAGGUAUCUUUUUGUCAAUCAGUAGAUUUGCUAAGGCACUGCCCAAGCUAAUUUUUAAUAGCUCAGUGAGGACUAGCAGAAGCCUCUGGGCAGCUGCUCCUCACUCUUUCUGAUGUACCAGAUUAGAGAAGUCUAAACUAUCAAUUCUGUCUUGUCAUCUGUGUGUGUGUUAUCACUUAAUUUUGCCUUCUACAAUCUCUCAUUGGAUUUUGUAAUUUUCUGUGCAAAUAACAGGCCUUUAUAGAGUUUUUUUGCACUCCACUAGCAAACGACUAUUUUGCACAACAGCUCAUCAUUUUUAGCAGAAGUUGCUUUUUAGGUCUCACUCAUCUUAGCCUUUCAUCUUUAUUUUUGGCCUGCAGAAAAAAAAUAUUUUCCAGCAAAGUUAGUAAUGCAAAUUAUUCAACUUGCAUUAACACAUACUUCAUAAUCUUUCUGCCUUUACAGCUUCUGCUGGCAAUAGAAAUAAAUUACAGCUGCUAGAUUAUAGUGUUAUUCUUUCUCUAUCUGAGUUGGGGAAAAAUGAUUCAUUUUCUCUCUUUCUUAGCAAAAGAGGACAGUCUGUUCAGUGAAGCAAAACUUAUUAGAGCUAAAAUUAACUGCAGGAAAUACAAUCCAUAAUUAAGCCAGGUUACUUAGUGCCACAGAUGCAGUAUGAAGAGUAUUCCAACUAUAUUAGCAUCACAGGAAAAUGGGGACAUCACUCAGUUUUUGGAAUGCCAAUUGCCACACAAACUUGGCCCAGAAUCAGUAAAGGCUAUGAGACAUUGAAUCUGCACAUUAAGGCAGAAGAAAUGUACUUUUAAAAAAAGCUGAUAAACGUCUACACUGUAAAUACAGUUGCAAGGAAAAAGCAGCAUUUUAACUAGGCCAAUAAAUGGGUUCUGAUUAGAAAUUAAGUGGUGCUCCUACAGAAUUCAGCUAUUUCUCAGUAAUUAGGACAUUCCUUAAUGAAGUGGACUGUGGUGUAAAGCAAGCAAUUCGGGGCUGUAUGCUUAUUUAUCUGAUUCAACUUCAUUAGCUAAAUGUCAGUGUUUUUGCCAGCAGCCUAUGCUGCAGCCAUCAGAGCGGUGACGAGUCCUGCUUCUCUGGCUGCAAACAAGGAACAGACUGGGGCAGUG